Molecule: long non-coding RNA, 1829 nt
Filed under: Salmo salar (Atlantic salmon)
Lineage: Eukaryota; Metazoa; Chordata; Actinopteri; Salmoniformes; Salmonidae
Description: lncRNA (ENSSSAG00000084745.1)
Source: RNAcentral
UGACAUGGUUAUUCAACUAACAAACGUUCUGUAUUUCCUAUUUCUUAACGCACUCUUUUCUAAAUAGAUUUUUUAAUGAUAUGUGAAAUUCGUAAUAGGUUACCGCUUGUAGGUGCGCAUCAGUGUCCAUAAAUACGCAUUGCAAUCGCCAUGACCUAAUUCAAAAGUAAUAGCAUGGAAAACGAAGCAAAGAGAAAAGUAAAGCAAAUGCAAAUCUACCUUUUACAUAUGUAUCAAUGUUAAAAAAGAAUACGCACGCUGGAACCAACAGCGUCGAGCAUUGAGAAUGGCAGAGCAGGUCGUCUCAUUAUGCACAGGCGAUUUCCCAGGCAGAACCCUUGGUUUCUUCACUUCAUGUUUCCGAUCCGCACUGCUCACACACGCUCGGAGCUUCGUCAAAAACAAACAAGGCAAUGUUCGCUUUCAAAACGGCAAUCAAAUACCCAAGAACCGGUGGGGGGAAUUACUCCCGCAGCGGCUAGAUGGUGAGAGAGGAGUCAUCAGGAGCCAGACAGAGAGAACCAGGAUAACGGCUGACGUGGCCAUGUGUUAAGGAUGGCCCACAGAUCGCAGAGAUGGAGCAUCUAUCUGUGUGACCCUUUACUGUUGUCUCUAGUGGAGCUCGAGACAUGGACUUCCAUCACCACCUGAACAUCAACAUGCACAACCGUCAAGAUACAGUAUGCUGAGAAGACAGAUACAGAACUCUGCUAUUUAUCAUCAGCAUGCAUACAUCUGUUCUAGAUACACAGAAACCACCAAAUAUACACUAACAUCCUUUGAAUCAAGUCAGUGUUUUGUAUCAUUGUGAUUUAAAUCUUGUUUGUUGUAAAACUGUUUACCAUAUGUCUACUCACUGGGAUGUAAAAGUACAACAUUAUUUAUUCUGAAUUGUAAAAGUCUGUAUUGGACCUGGCAUAUUGGUAUAUUGGAUUUUGAAUGAACCUGCCCUUAGAAUACAGCAUGACAUCAGAAGGGAACCCGCAGAGCACAUUGUCUUUAUCUGACAUUGACUGAAUUUAUAGAAAAAGUAAACCUCAAUGGGAAUAUUUUUCUACUUUCUCAAAUCACUGAAUUUCCUCAAUGAACGGAAUAAAGUAUAUUCAAGAAUAUCUUGUUUCUGACUUUUUUACAGUAUGUCUACAGUAGACCUACUGUAUAUACCUUUGACAUGAUUAGAUCCUCUGUGGGAUCAAUGUGGAAUGGGUGCUGAUUAAAAUAAAACAACAUGGCUGACAUGGCUGUAGCAGUUCCUGAUUGACCCUGAUAUUUCUCAGAAUGAAACAUACAGUUUGCAUACAGUACAAAUAAACGACAUACAUGUUACAUUUACCUUGUCAAUGUGUUACCAUAUUAUGUCAAAUUAGAUACAACUGUAAAAUCUAAAAUGGAAAAGAUACUAGCUAUGGUCACUACCUGAAGCACCUUGACAACCAGGGCAAGCUUUGUAGCCUUCUACACAUUUUGUGUUUGUGUUUGCUAGCAGAAUGCAUCUUCUACUUUUUUCCUUCUCUGUCACAAUGUUUGCCUUAAUUUUGUUGUUUUGUUCUACAUGAAGAAGGUUCAAAGUUUUCAUUCCCACUUCCUCUGUUACCUGCCUGUCACUUUCCUUCUCCUGACAAACAAUAUCUCUCCUCACCUGUCUCCCAACCCCCACUUCCUCUGUUUCCGGCCUGUCUCACUUCUUCUCCUGACAAAAUGUUUCUCUCCUCACUUUUCUCCCUUCCCUCUGUCUCACUCAUCAUAUAUCCUUCUCCUCCACUCUCUCUACUUUUUCUCUCUCCUUCUCAAUCCCAUUAAACCUUUCCCUCCCUCCCUCCCUCCCUCCC